CAUGGAGGGCUUCGGGCCGGCAAUCCGCCAAUCCGGUCAGGUUCGGAAGGAAGCAGCCGUAACGGAAUUUGCCGGGGUCGAUUGCUCUCCACCUUA
This 96-nucleotide signal recognition particle RNA is filed under the name Alphaproteobacteria bacterium. RNAcentral's name for it is "signal recognition particle sRNA small type". It matches the Rfam family "Bacterial small signal recognition particle RNA". From Rfam's summary of the family: The signal recognition particle (SRP) is a universally conserved ribonucleoprotein involved in the co-translational targeting of proteins to membranes. Archaeal SRP consists of a 7S RNA and homologues of the eukaryotic SRP19 and SRP54 proteins. Lineage: Bacteria; Pseudomonadati; Pseudomonadota; Alphaproteobacteria. The record is from RNAcentral.